This 449-nucleotide ribosomal RNA is filed under the name Lautropia mirabilis. Its description in RNAcentral is "bacterial SSU rRNA". It matches the Rfam family "Bacterial small subunit ribosomal RNA", at positions 30 to 476 of the family's 1533-position model. The record is from RNAcentral. Lineage: Bacteria; Pseudomonadati; Pseudomonadota; Betaproteobacteria; Burkholderiales; Burkholderiaceae.
AUUGAACGCUGGCGGCAUGCUUUACACAUGCAAGUCGAACGGCAGCGCGGGCUUCGGCCUGGCGGCGAGUGGCGAACGGGUGAGUAAUACAUCGGAACGUGCCCAGUAGUGGGGGAUAGCUCGGCGAAAGCCGGAUUAAUACCGCAUACGACCUGAGGGUGAAAGCGGGGGAUCUUCGGACCUCGCGCUAUUGGAGUGCACCGAUGGCAGAUUAGCUAGUUGGUGGGGUAAAGGCCUACCAAGGCGACGAUCUGUAGCUGGUCUGAGAGGACGACCAGCCACACUGGGACUGAGACACGGCCCAGACUCCUACGGGAGGCAGCAGUGGGGAAUUUUGGACAAUGGGCGAAAGCCUGAUCCAGCAAUGCCGCGUGUGUGAUGAAAGCCUUCGGGUUGUAAAGCACUCUUGGCGGGAACGAAAAGGACUGUGCCAAUUUCUCGGUUGCGAA